CUACAACCCUCGGCUUUUUGUUAUUGACAAUAUUUUUCUUCUUCCAACACUGCUAUCCAGGUUUGAUCUUAUCUACUUAAUUCUGGACAAGCCUGAUGAACAAAUUGAAGCCUGUCUAAACAUAUUGUUGCACUUCACUUCAAAAAUCCAGAGAGCAUAGUACAUGAUGUUUUGGACCUUCCCACCUUAACUGCAUACAUUAUAUAUGCAAGAAAGCAUAUUCAUCCUCAUCUAUCUGAAG
This is a long non-coding RNA of Dioscorea cayenensis subsp. rotundata (Guinea yam), 241 nucleotides long. RefSeq lists it as uncharacterized. Lineage: Eukaryota; Viridiplantae; Streptophyta; Magnoliopsida; Dioscoreales; Dioscoreaceae. The record is from RefSeq and is a predicted model, not a curated record. The transcript has 3 exons.